This 623-nucleotide ribosomal RNA is filed under the name Escherichia coli. RNAcentral describes it as "partial 23S ribosomal RNA". It matches the Rfam family "Bacterial large subunit ribosomal RNA", at positions 1 to 666 of the family's 2925-position model. The record is from RNAcentral. Lineage: Bacteria; Pseudomonadati; Pseudomonadota; Gammaproteobacteria; Enterobacterales; Enterobacteriaceae.
GGUUAAGCGACUAAGCGUACACGGUGGAUGCCCUGGCAGUCAGAGGCGAUGAAGGACGUGCUAAUCUGCGAUAAGCGUCGGUAAGGUGAUAUGAACCGUUAUAACCGGCGAUUUCCGAAUGGGGAAACCCAGUGUGUUUCGACACACUAUCAUUAACUGAAUCCAUAGGUUAAUGAGGCGAACCGGGGGAACUGAAACAUCUAAGUACCCCGAGGAAAAGAAAUCAACCGAGAUUCCCCCAGUAGCGGCGAGCGAACGGGGAGGAGCCCAGAGCCUGAAUCAGUGUGUGUGUUAGUGGAAGCGUCUGGAAAGGCGCGCGAUACAGGGUGACAGCCCCGUACACAAAAAUGCACAUGCUGUGAGCUCGAUGAGUAGGGCGGGACACGUGGUAUCCUGUCUGAAUAUGGGGGGACCAUCCUCCAAGGCUAAAUACUCCUGACUGACCGAUAGUGAACCAGUACCGUGAGGGAAAGGCGAAAAGAACCCCGGCGAGGGGAGUGAAAAAGAACCUGAAACCGUGUACGUACAAGCAGUGGGAGCACGCUUAGGCGUGUGACUGCGUACCUUUUGUAUAAUGGGUCAGCGACUUAUAUUCUGUAGCAAGGUUAACCGAAUAGGGGAGC